UGUGAAACGCCCUUUACCCCCUCUUAGGGACAAGGAGCUGGUAUCAGGCACGAAAAUCUGCCCAAAACACCUAGCUAUGCCACACCCACAAGGGAACUCAGCAGUGAUUAACAUUGAGCAUUAGCGCAAGCUUGACUCAGCUAAAGUAAACAGAGCCGGCUAAUCUGGUGCCAGCCGCCGCGGCUUACACCACGUGGCUCAAAUUGAUCUCCUCCGGCGUAAAGCGUGAUUAAAGUCAGACCUAGCUAGAGUUAAACUAAAACUAAGCUGUGACACGCUUGUUCUCUAAGAAGCUCAUAAACGAAAGUUACUCUAAGACAAACAACUUGAAUUCACGACAGCUGGGGCACAAACUGGGAUUAUAUACCCCACUAUGCCCAGCCGUAAACUUUUAUUU
Molecule: ribosomal RNA, 397 nt
Filed under: Sclerophrys arabica (Arabian toad)
Lineage: Eukaryota; Metazoa; Chordata; Amphibia; Anura; Bufonidae
Description: partial 12S ribosomal RNA
Rfam family: Bacterial small subunit ribosomal RNA
Source: RNAcentral